ACCUUCCGCCAUGAUUGUGAGGCUUCCCCAGCCAUGUGGAAACAUAUUCGCAGAGCACCCACUAGGUGCCAGUAAAUGUAUGAGAAGUCCUGUGGAAUAAGACUGAAGUUGUCCUUGCCUUCAAGCAACUUGCAAUUGCCUAAGAACACAGUUUAAAACCACAAAACUAAGAAAAAGAGAGAGCGAGCGAGAGAAAGAAUAGCUACAUGUGAUUAUCUGAAGCUGAAAGCCAAGCACAAGUUAGAUAGCAGCCAUGAACGCAAUGCCCAGUUUUGAAGAGGAGCUUAAAACAUAACCUUGGAAAUCACAUGCUGUCAUUUCUGCGAUCGGUCAUAACCAGUCCUGAUUCCAUGUUAGAGGAGACUACAUAAGGACACAGGUACCAGAAGGCUGUACAGGAAGCAAGAUGCUGGCCAUCUGCUCAGCUUCUGGGGAGGCCUCAGGAAACUUUCAGUCAUGGCAGAAAGCAAAGGGGAAAUAGGAGACUAACCAGCAUGGGCUACAUCAAAAAGGCUGCCAUCUACUUUCUGCUGGGUAGGGGCACCAGAGAGACUUGUCAGAAACUAGAAGGAAGGUAGAGUGCGAAAUCUGAGUGUUAAUUCCCUGGCUUCAUCAAAGGACACUGGUCUUCACAAGGAAACAGACUACAUGAUUCUCCUUUUGGGCUUCAGUAAAAACCCCCUCCUUUCAUCCCUUAGUCUAGGGAUGGUAAGAGGUCAGCAGCUAAGAAUUCUAGGUUCUUUGUGGUUUUCCCGUAUACAUGUCUUUGAUGAUAGCCCCUUUGGAAAUAAAUUCUCCUAGACUU
Molecule: long non-coding RNA, 805 nt
Filed under: Homo sapiens (human)
Lineage: Eukaryota; Metazoa; Chordata; Mammalia; Primates; Hominidae
Description: novel transcript
Source: RNAcentral